ACCUGUCUUGCGACAGCGUGAGUCGCCACGAUGCGCUACACCGCAUUGCUCCUUGUCGCCCUCGCCGGGUCCGCCCUGGCAGGACCAACGGGCCAAAGAUCUACCUGCGCCUUGCACUGCAAUGACGCGGAGAGUUAUGCAUAUCAAAGCGGCAAAAGUUAUAUUUACGAAUACUCGGUGACGACCUCUACCGCCCUCCUGGAAACCUACGAGGAUGACGCCCAAUUACACAUCACCGCCAAUGUCCACAUCGAUGUCCCUGCCCCCUGCGAGUACAUCCUCAAGUUGACCGACGUCAAUCUUGAUGGCACGUCUCAAGGACCAGAGUUCGCUGCUGCUGUUACCAAGUCUCCCUUGCGCUUCUCUUUCCAAGAUGGUCGCGUGGAGAGCAUCUGCAGUGAAGCAUCUGAGCCGGCUUGGGUGCUGAACUUCAAGAGAGGUGUCCUCUCUACCUUCCAGGCCUCCAUGGCCCAUCAGGGUGUUGAGGACAUUAAGGAGACAGACAUCUCUGGCGUUUGCAUGACUCACUACAACGCUACAGUAGAAGGCAGUGUUGUCACCAUGAUAAGGUCAAGGACUUAGCCACUUGUACUCAGCGACCUGACCUGACCUUCAUCCCUCUUACUGGAUACAUCAGUGACUCUCCAGUCCAGAGCCUCCCAAUCUUAGAAGCUCAAGCAAGUGUCACAAAGGGUGGAGGAAGGCCUCUUAAGGAUGGCAGAAGUGAGGAGACCCACGUGUUCCGUCCUUUCUCCAGCGAAAAGGGAGGAGCUGUUACAACUGCCAAGACCACCAUGAUUCUUAUGUCUCAGGAACGACUUACACCUAUCACAGACUUCGACUUCAAGCGCAAUACACUAGCAUUCGAGAACACACUCGCCCGGAAGCCCAGCUUGAAGCAGUUGAGGAGAUCUUGAGCAAUCUGGAGAUUGGUUCUAACAGUGAAAUCCUUCCAGAGGUUCCUUCAUUAUUUGCCAAACUUGUGUCAUCACUCAAGGAACUGAAUUACCCUCAGCUCAACACUAUUUAUAACAAUGCUAAAGAAACUCACGCACGGAAGUUCCUGGUCGAUGCAAUGCCACUAGUGGGAACAGCUGCUUCUUUUGGUGUGGUCAGAGACAUGUUCGUCAAUGGGAUAUGACGGAAUCUGAGGCUGAUGUGUUCUUCACUUCAUGGCUUUCUUCAAGAAUCCAACAGCAGAAAUGUUUACUGCUCUUGCUCCUUUACUCGAGAACAACCCAAGCCAAAAUGCAAUGUUGGGAACUUCUGCUCUCAUCAACACCUUCUGCAAAAUCAGUGAAGACUGUGGUGCCGAUUCCAGUGUACAACAAGUUAUUCGUCGAAUUGAAACACAACUUGGAUCUGGCUGUCGCACAGUGAAUGAAGAAGAGAAAGUCAGGGUACUUGUUGCUCUCAAGGCACUGGCAAUGCUGGUCGAUGGUUAAUGCCAACUCCGUCUUAAGACGGUGCUAUACUGAAGAUAAUGACAUGGAAGUGCGAGUGGCUGCUAUAGAGGCAUGGAGGCACACUCCAUGUGAAUAUGACCGAUCUCACUUUUGGCUGCUUUCCAGAUGAAAUCAGGACACAGAGGUUCGCAUUGCUGCCUACCUUGCUCUCAUGACCUGUCCCACUCCAGAGCUUAUCAACACCAUCAAGGACCGUCUCACUUCAGAAGGUGUCAACCAGGUGGGCUCCUUAUCUGGACUCAAUGACCAACAUGCAGGAAUCAGCUGCUCCAGAAAAACAGUGGGCUCGUCAAAUGAUUGGCGAGGAACUUCUGCAGAAAAAGUUCAGUACGGAAGCCCUCAAGUUUUCUCGCAACUAUGAAUCCUCUUUCUUCAUGAAUGAAAUCAACACUGGUGCCACAGUUGAAAGCAAUAUUAUCUUCUCCAGCAAGUCCUACCUGCCACGUUCUGCAAUGCUUAACCUCACUCUCGACCUCUUUGGACAGUCUAUCAACUUCUUUGAGGUUGGUGGCAGAAUUGAAGGUUUUGAAGCUUAUAUUGAACGCUUCUUUGGUCCUAGAGGAUAUUAUCCUGAGGAAACCAUUGAAACCAUUCUGAGGAAUAUGCGACAGAACAACGAUGCUGAUGCCACCACCCUGGAAGGCUUCCUUGACCAGAUGACUGAUGAACCGGAGGGAUCCUACUAUCUCCGAGUCUUUGGCAAUGAACUUCAUUACCACACUUCUUUGGACUGAAAACCUCAUUCAAACAUCCGGUGCUUCUAACCCACUGGAAUUCUUGAUGAAUCUGGCACGCCAGGGAGAUGUAGAUUACACAAAAUCUUACCAGCUAAUAGACACUCAUCACACCAUUCCCACUGUAACUGGUUUACCUGUGACCCUCACUGCAAAGGGAACAGCUACCCUUGGACUCAAGAUGAAUGGAAAACUUCAAGGCUCGUAGUCUUAAGAAUAUAAACAUCGAAGGACACCUCCAUCCUUCUGCCGCAGUUCAAAUGAUGGCACUAUGCUUGUCGAUGCCCAUGUGUCUCGCACUGGGUCAAGAUGUCUUCCAAUCUUCACACCUCCACAUUCCUCGAUGGCAAGCUUCAAAUCAACGGCGGUAAACUAGUCGACGUUGCCUUCAACACACCUAAGGACAAGAUGGAAGUUAUCAAUGUCAAGACCGAGUUCUUCUAUCUGGAAGAUGAUCAAGAGAUCCGAAAAGAUGUUGCAAACCUCAUCCAAGAAGAGAGCUGCACUAGUGGAGUCACUGGCAUUGCCUUGUGUGGUGAAUACAGCUAUGCUCCAAGCUCAGAAUAUGGCCCAAGCUUCCCUUCACAGGACCUUUGCAACAAGUGUUCAUUUCAAGAAGACAAACACUCAGACUGGAUAUGUCCUGCGCUACACUCAUGAGGAUGAUCAGUUGUUUUCGUGUUUGAUACCCAGGAUCCCAAACAGAUCGUAAAGUCUUGCUUACUAUUACUAAGGCUGCUAAAGCAAUCAGCUUUGACCUGUACACACCAUUUAAAUCAGUUCAAGGCAAGGGCGAAUAUCUCUGGCAGAAGAAUAACAAGAACACUAAACUGGAACUCCUCGUUGAUGGCAACCAACAAUACAUGCUGGAGACUGGUCUACGUACAAGCGGAAAAACAGUCAAGACAAUUGUGCCAUCCUUCAUUCUCACUUCCCCUGCUGGUCAAGUAUUGAAUAUACAAGGGAACUUCCAGGCCAACGCAGAAGCUGCUAAAUAUGUUGCGGAUGUUACUGUCUCAGAGCUGACUGCAUCUCCCAUCACUGUACACGGUAAGCAUCGUUUUUUAGGGCGAAAGUAACUCUGUAGCCAUGAACGUGAUCUGAAAACACCGAUCAUUGACACAUUAAUCAAGAGUGAGUUUGGUUAUGGUGAGAACUUCCUUUCAUCCAAGGUGGAUGCAGAGUACAGAAUUAUGAAAAAGGCCAAACAGACAGUUCACCAUUCUGCCCUUCUCAAGAAGGAAAUCACAGAGGACCUCUACAAGUACACUAUUGUCUUUGACGUCUCUCCAUCACAGUACCCUGAAAUGGCACUAGAGUAUAACCAGGACAUCGUCCUUUCAAAGGGACGCAUGGAAAACAACGCUAAGCUUGUUCAUGGCCCUGCCACAUGGAACGCAAAUGAAGUGGUAUCCUAUGCCAACAACAAUGGUCGGCGUGAUUUGAACAUCCACUCGACACUUAUUUGCCCACACUAUGAGAUCGACAUUUCUGGCUCUUAUGACUUGGAGUUCUCUCCAAAUCACCUGAGGAGUGAAUAUCACCUUCGCCUGUCUCCUGGGAGAGAACAGUCUAUCUUAGUCGAACUCAGUCAUCAGUAUGAUGUCGAAACACUUGGACGCAUCAACGUGCAGGCUGAGGACCUGAAGUCUUCCUUUGAAUUUGUUUUCAAUAAGAUUGCGCUGGCCACUACAAAGCUCAAGUGACUGCUGAAUUUAAUGAGAAAGAAAUGGCUUUGGAAGGAAACUUAAGGAUAAUUCCGUGGCCGGUAAAAUCAAUACCAUUGUCGAUGGAUUCUUCAAGACAUCUGACUUCGACUGGAAAUCCAACCUCGGUAUCUAUGCAGACGAGGACAAAGCCAAUGUUAACUUCAAGAUUAAUUCCGACAGGAAACGAAUACAUGGCCAAGUUUGAGGGCACCGCACUUCCUCCUAAUUGAAUCGAACUUCGUCAAACACAUUCUUGUCAAUGCCCACGUAACCAGUACACAGGACAUGAAGAAACUACAUGUUGCUGCCGAAUGGGACAAAGAUGUAGAUCCUACAAAAGCUUUCGUCAUUGACGGACAGUUUGCUAAUGGCGAAGUCGGAGCGGCAUUUAGAUAUGGCGAGAGGGAAGUGUCCAUCAUUGGCAAGCUAAUUGACAGUGGUGUGGAGGUGGAAACUAAAUGGGCUGCUGACAAGAGAAUCUUUGUCAAUGUUCACUACACACUUGGGAAUACCAAGUCGCUGGCAGCUACAGUGCAGACGCCAUUCAAGGCUGGGAAAAAACAGGAUGCCACCUUUACCUUCUCCAUCACUGAUCAUGAAGUUGAGAGUCGCUUUUCUGCUACAUGGAGGAACACACAGCAAAUGGCACUUACUGUCACUGGCAAGGUAGAACCUGGACUCUUUACCAAUGCUCUUUCCACCAAAGUUGCAUUCACAAGCACCUUUGAUAACUAUGAGCGUAUCUCAUUCUCUCUGGAUCACAACAUGGUUGAUUCCACCAUCAAGACUCAAUUGGAGGGUGCCUGGAACCAAGAGAAAAUGGAAGGCAGCUUCCAACUCACUCCUAACACAAAUGGUGUAAAUGCUCGAGCUACCUUCACUUCCCCUGUCACAGAGAACAUCCUUGUGGCAUUGCAUCAUGAAUUACUCAAUAAGCAAUUGUCUACUACAUUUGAAGUGAAAUAUGGACAAGAGAUCUCUACUGCUACUGCCACGGGUCACGUGGACCUCGGUGAUGUGCAUGACAUCAAUCUGGCGUUUAAAGUUGACACCCCUGUUUCUUUGAUCCCUGAGAUAAAUGCCAAUCUUAAAUACUCUCUGAGUGGACAAAGUCUCAACUUGAUAACUGAAGGUAAAAUUGGGGAGAAGAAAAUCAUGCUUAAUGUAACUGGCCAGAGGACUGUCAACAGUGACACUACAGACAUUUCUGGAGACGUGCGUUUUAUCACUCCUUUCACCUACCCUCUGACAGCAUCUCUCAAGCACAACCAUGACACAGAGCACUUUACAUCACAGUUUGAGAUGACAAGGAUCUGGUCUACAUACGGUAGUGUCAAGGUGCAUGCUCAAGGAAACAUGGUCUCCAAGAAUGAUGUAGAAUUCAAAGUUGAUGUUUCUAGCCCAGUAAGUAAGGGUUCAAUCGCCUUCAAGCACACUGUUACUAACACCAAGAUGGAUUCCUCAGUUGAUGUCAUUUUCAACUCUGAACGUAUUCAUGUGUCUGUGGGUGGUCUUCUGGAUGUGUCCAGGAGCUUAGCAAACAUUGAAGCUGAAGUUACUUCCACUUUCAGUGGCCUAGAUGAUAUAAAAGUCACCAUUGAUAGCAAGAAGGAGGGCAACACAAGAACCUCCAACAUAGUCCUCAUGAAAGGAACAAAAUCUGUUGUAAUUGACCAUACCAUUGUCUUCAAUGAUUGGUUCAACUGGGGAAAUUCCUUCAUUGUAAAUGGAGUCUACAAAUUAGAUAAUAAGCAGAUGCAUGCUGGCUCUCUGUACAAACACCAACUUGAGUAUAUGUGGGAUCGCCAACUUGUGCAAUUCGAGGGAACUUUCGACAAGAGGAUCUCUGGAAAUACCCGUCAGAUUGAUGCACAAGUCUCCCUUUCCACUCCUUGGACUGAGGACAUGAAACUUGAUUUACAUCACCAAGAUGAUGGUGUUGAAUACAAACCAACCCUUAUCUUUGAGUACAGGCCUGGAAUGAAGAUUGAAGUUGCCUCUGUUCUGAAAUGUGACUCAUCGUUCUUAUACAUUGCAUCCACUCUUACAACACCAUUCUGGCAGCCACUGGGAUACAAACUCAACAUUGAAUUCCUGCCAAGAAAGACUGCCACUCUUGUUUUAACACGAGGAGCUAACAGAACUACUAUUGACAUCACAGGAAACUAUGAACAAGGAAAGAUAGAUGGUGAGUUGCAUAUUGAUUCUACAUACCUUACCAAACCAGUUUCUCUGGAAGUGUUCUAUGACAUCAUUUCAGCUGAAAAGAAAGUGAACUUGGUGCUUGAUUUUGACAAAAGGUAUGAGAUAACAGGAACCAUUGCUGGUCACCUUAAACAAGCUAAAUGGUCUCUUAUAACUGAACUUCCUCUUGAAGCUGUACAGAAACUUGGUUUCAGUGGUGAGUACAAUGUUGAAGUCAUGCCCUUCACUGCCCAUACAGUAUUGGUUUUCAACACCCAGAAAUACCAGGUAAAUAGCAAGAUCAAUGCAGAUGAAUUCCAAAUCAAUAUGGAUUUCAAUGGAAAAACCGGAAGUUUAGUCAGCAGUUGGAACUACCAGGAGAGCUAUGCUGAUGUUGAAAUCGACUUCCAAUCACCAUUUACAACACUGGACAAUAUGUCUGUCUCAGGAAUGUAUGACUUCCGUAGUGAAAAGAAAGUGACCCUUAAGAUGACCCGUAACUCAAAGGAAAUCAACCUGUCUGGGCGACUUGAAGGACAAACCAUUGUUUUCGAAGGCACAACUCCAUUCAGUGGAUGGGAAACCCUUAAGGCCUCAUUCUUCAUUUCCAGUUCUGCUGUUAAAGCCUUUGUGUCCAGGAAUGACCGUAAGGUUGAGGUUACAGGAACACUGCACAUCAGAAAAGUCAAGGGAAAGAUUAAUCUCACCAUUAAUACUCCAUAUGCUGGCUAUGAAACCGUUUCUGUUGACACAAACUACAGCUUACAGGGCCAAGUGAAAACAGUGGGUUUGAAGCCAAAUUGGCUCACAGAACUCUCCUUAAAGGGAGACAUCAAGACAAACAAACAUUUUAGCUCCUGAGAUGAUCUCAAUAUCAUUACUCCAUUUGAAGCUAUAAGAACUCUUGGUGGAGAAGCUCACUGGGACCUGAGAAACCUUGUCAAGACUGCCGAAGUGAAGGCUUUCCGCAAUGAUCGCCACUACCACUGGCAGCUAGAGACAGCUGCUGAUAGUCCCCUAAAGGGUUAUGCCAAUUCCAAGAUCACAACUCCCAUUGCUGGAUGGACGACAGUCAGUUUGGAAGGAAACUUUGAUUUCACCUCCAUGCCUUACAGGGCACUUUUUACUUACAACAAAGAAGCAGUUAUCAGAACAUUUGAAGUACAAGUCAGUGUAGCAGAAAAUGCAGUAUCUGGUGAAAUUACAACACCAAUCUCUGGAUGGGAGAAGAUUGCUUUGAAUGGCGAUUAUUCUCUGGCCAACAACCUUCUGACCGGAAAUGUGGAGAUCACCAAGAGUUCUGACAAAUAUCAUCUCAAUGGGGAUAUUGCUUUUAAUACUCAGAAGCCUAAGGUAAAUAUUGGCAUCAGGACACCUCUAGCAAAUGCUGCUAAUAUUGAGCUGGUUCUUGAUGCUAAUCUAGUCGAUACAGAAAAGAAUUUCCAUAUUACCUUCAAAAGGAAUGACAUUACUUACUCUGCAGAUUUCACAGGCCAAAUUAUCUAUAAGACAGGAUUCAUGAAGCUGCAUACAACUUCGCCCAUUCCAGGUUUUACAUCCCUGGAUGUUGAUGCCAAAUACGACUUUACUGGAGAUGUGAAAACUGCUGAAGCCAAUCUUAUGAAGGAAGGAAAUAACCAGCAUAUCUCACUGACUUCCACAGUCAAUGACAACAAUUUCCAUGUUGAAGUUGAAACACCAUUUGCUGGUUUUGAAUCUGUGAAGAUGGAUGGUGAUUACACAUACCUCAAUAAUAAACACAGUGUCACAGCUUCAUUUGAGAAGAAUAGUCUGAAGUAUAACUUCAAUGCUGAGAUUUCACUCAAUACCAACUCUGUUACCCUGAUGCUGACAACCCCAAUAGUAGACAUUAAGCAUGUUGUCAUUAAUGGCAAUUACCAGGCCAUUGAGAAUGGAAUGGAAUGCUCCCUUGUUGUUGAAAGAAACCAGGAUAAGUUUGAGUUUGAUACUCGUGGAUAUUUCACACCCAAGAAAUCAGACCUACACCUCUCACUAGAGACACCUGUUGAGGGCUGGAGGAAGCUAGAGCUGGAUACCCAUUAUGAUAUUAUCUCUGACAAGAAGUCUGCUGAGAUCUCUUUCCAAGGAGAUUCACUGAUGAAAAAGCUGUAUGUUGAGGGUAGCUAUAAUCUGAAAUAUGGAUCUUUUAAGGUUAUGACUCCUAUUGAGGAUUUCAGAGUCCUGGGUGCUGAAUAUACACUAAACCUUGAUGAAUACAACAAGAAAUUGGAUGCUUCUGUUAAGAUCAGUCAAAAUUCCAAUGAAUGGGCCUUCGAGGCAAAUGGACAAUACAGUGAUGAUAACAUUGUUAUAAAGUUCCAGACACCAUUUGAGGGCUUUGAUACUAUUGCUGUUGAAGGCAAUCUAAACUAUGGAAACAGAUCUGGAAGAGGUGUCAUUCAAUUUGGGUCUUAUAAGUUUACCACCAGCAUUACUUAUGCAAAUGACAACAUGUCCUUUGAGCUGACGACUCCCUUUGAUGCAAUGAAGACUGUGUCCCUUUCAGCUCAGUACAACUGGACUACCAGCCAAAAGAGUGCUACUCUAAACAUCACUUACAAUGACAAGAACUUCGUUCUCUCCAGUUCUCUGCAGCUCUCUACAAGGGCCUCUGACAUCACCUUCCAGGCCGGAACUCCUUUCAAGGGUUUCCAGAACACUUUCAUUGAAAUUAAGUAUGAUGUUGAUAACAGAGAGGAGCUCCUUGCAUCCCGUGUCAGUGUAGAUGAUCACAAAUACAGCUUUGUUGUAGGUGGAUUUAUUGAAGACAAGCUAGCCAUGUUCAAGUGGAACCUUAACUCUCCUUUCAGUGGCUGGACUGAUGCCAAGUUUGUAGCAAAGAUUGAUCUUUCCAGUGAAAAUAAAAACAUUGAAAUCUCCCUUGAGAAAGAAGGAGACCUUAAAGCUAUUGCAGUCUUGCAAGUUCAUUGGCAGUACAUUGGACUUUAAUCUGCAAACUCCUUUCAGAGGGCUCAAUAAUUUCAACGUGUUUGGAUCUCUUAACCGGUCCAAGAGGUCUCUUGAAAUGAGAAUGAUGAAUGAUGCAGGACAAGUAUCUUUAGCUGGCAAUUUCAAUUCCCUCAGAUUCAACAUGAAGACUCCAUUUGAAAGAGCAGAACAGAUCUCCUGGGAGAUCACCAAGACUGGUGAAGGCUCCUACAAAGCUGAAUGGAGGAGGAAUGAUAAUUAUGCCAUACUCACAACAGAAAAGGAUGGAAAGAAAAAUUCUUUUCAAGUGAAUGUGAAGAGUGAGUUUCAGGGAUGGGAGAUCCUGGCUCUUACUGGAAGACUGGACGAAGGGACAAAACAAGCCUACCUCAGUGGAGCCAUCAAUGAACAGAAGAUCACUAUCUCUGGAUCAGGUUCCUUUGGUAGCAGAAGCAAUUAUAGCAUGAAGAUUGAAACUCCCUAUGACAACUACAGAGUUGUAAAUGUCCAACUUGAUUAUUUGAAGAGAAGGAAUACAAUGAAGAUUGAGGCCUCUUCAUCCUCUUCUGAUUUCCAUCUUCUUUGGUCACACUCAGGAUCAGGCAUUGAAGCUCACCUUAUUGUACCUAAUUCACAGCAGAAUACUGAAAUUUCCAUCAACCUGGCCCCUACUCAAGGAAAAAUAACCAUAACAUCACGAUUUGAGCCUAUCAGGGACUACCUCCAGGAAUACCAUGUUAACUUGGGUGAGACUGUUAUCACUGCUGAUCAUAUUAUCAAGCUGAAUGGUCAUGAGGUUUUCAAGAUGGAAUUUGAGAGGAAUGCUCCUGAACAGAAGGGACACCUAGAAAUUCACAUUCACGUUGCAGAACGUCACACAACCAUCCACUUCCAUCGUGAAGGCUUUAGCAAGCUUAAUUUCCUGUUUAAACGUGAAGUACCACAGUAUGGUGAAAAACACUUCAAGGUCGACAUAACUGGAUCAGGAGCAUUGCCAGAAAAGGGUGCACUUGAUAUUGCUGUUGAGAACACUUUUCGUGAACCAGCUAGGACCAUCAAUGCACGUGUUGAAGUAGACCGGACUGGCGCCCAAAAGAAAAUUUUGCUGGAGAUUAUUCCUAGACAAAGCAGACUGUAUGCUUUUAACCUUGAAUAUGAUGCAGACCUUCAAAGCCCACGACAUGGAGACUUCACUUUGAGUAUUACAACUCCAAGCAGGCGAGCAGCCCCAUGGCAGAAUAUAUCUGGAAAUUGGAAUGUUGAAAAUCCAAAUGAUGCUACAAUAACCUUCACAAUGGGCAACAUCACUUAUAAUGCCAGAGGAAAACUUACUCUUCGAGAAUCCACCAUGAUACUCUCUUCAACAAAUUCAUCAGCUGAGAACAUUUACCUCCAGUGGAAAUUUGAACGAGAUGGCAGCACUAGAGAUUAUUUCCUUAAGCUUGGCCGUGAGUCCAAAUAUGGAAUGCUGAAGCUGAAGGGAACAAUUAUUGAUAUUGCUCAUGUGGAUAUUGAAGGAGGCCUCAAGGCUGGACCAUUCAUGCCAAAUGAGUUUCUGUUUACCUCUAUGUGGAACAAGGCUAAUGGUGUAGUCACUGGAGAAGGUACAUUUGAUUAUGGAAACUAUCAUGGCUCCCAUCGCCUAGUAAAGUUUGAACGAAAUGCAGAAAGGAAAUCGGCAUCCUUUGAAUGGUCAGCAACUUCAAAUAUUCCCCAGUACAACUCUGUUUCGGUUUCAGGAAAUUAUGACUUUGACCACAAAGUUGUUAUCUUUGUCUUCAUAAAUGCUGAUGGUAGAGAAUCUAAAAUUGAUGUUAACAUUGCUGAUAUCAACCCCACAAUAUCUCGUAAUACAGCAAUGAUUUCUAUCCCACUCCUAGGAUCUACAUUUGAAAGAACAGAACUCACUGUCAGUCAUGACUUUAGCCAUCCAAACCGAAAAUCUAUCUCAGCUGUUGCAAAGUUUGGUCGUUCAGAAUCCUUCAUUAAUGCCAAGUGGAACCGAAGUGAUGGUUUUGAAACCCUUGAAGGAAAAAUAGAGGCCAAAUCUAGAUUCCUUGGAGAUAUUCUAAUCAACGUCAGGUAUAACAUGUCCAAUAUUGCAGAUGCUUAUGCUGAAGUUGACUAUUCAAGAACGACAACAGAUGGUGACAAAAAGGAAUUCAAACUAAACUGGACUAGGAAAUCUACUGAUGACCAUCUUGAAAAUGAAAUGAUCUUUGACUCCAACUUUGAGACCCUGUCACAUGCACGUGCAUAUGCAAUGCUGAGUAUGGUAACAAUUUCAAAUUGUUAUCUGGGCUGGAUUGGAAUGAGAAGAAAAUUAACCUUACCCUUGAAGUUCGCAAAAAUAAGAUUUCAGGAAUGCUUACCACACCAUUUGAAGGAUUUGAAACAAUAGAGGUAGACCUGCAGUAUAAGCUUACUGGUAAGGACAAGUCAAUUAAUGCAACAUAUCAACGUGGAGAUAGGAAGGCUAGCCUCAAUAUGGAGUUGAGCAUGAAGGGUAAAAAAGGAGGUUCGUUUAAAGUUGAUCUCAGUACACCUUUUGAAGUGGUGAAAAACCUUCAUAUUGAUGGUCAGUAUGAAAAUAAAGUGGCUCAAGUUAAUUACCAAAGAAACGAUAUUCACAUGAACUUCAAUGGAAAGGCUAACAUCAAGUCAAGUAAAGCUUCCUUUGACAUUUCAUUCACACCUCCCAGCGGACAAAAUAUCAGGAUAGCUGCUUCAUAUGAUGUACAGGACUUCAUUGCUGGUACAGGAACUGAGGAGAAGGAACUAGCUAGUCUUUCACUUGAAUUUGAAGGUAACUCAUUGGACUUCAGCCUUCAUGGCUUCCGCAAUGAUGACAGACUCUAUGUGAUGAUUCAUGGGUCUUCCUCCUUUGCAGUGCUCAAGAUGUUCCAUCUCAAAUUAGAUUCUGAACUGAAUACUCAGGCAAGGGAUGGCACUUUUGAACUCACUUUCAAUGAUUUUAAAUUCAAUGUAAGCAAUCACUUGAAAGACGAGAAGACAAUGGUUAUUACUUUAGAAGCAAGAUUGAGUCGACACUCACUCCCUCCCAGCACUGAUCAUUGGUCUUGGGCGUGAAGGUAAGAACGUAUCAUAACCGUUGGUUAUGGAGAGGACAAAGAGAUUACUUUCUCUAUAAAAGGUAAGAACAACUUCCUUUCUGGAUUUUCGGGCAAGGUUGACAUUCCCUCCCUAAAUUAUGAAGGAGUGGAAUAUGAUGUGGAUUACAGCUUCCCAGGUGAUAAUCACCUCCAGAUUCAUGUCGAGAUUGACUUAAACGAAAACGAGCAAGAAGUGGAGGCAACAUUCUUCCUGGAUUCAGAAGGUAUCAAGGCUCGCUGUCAUCCACUGUACUGGGUGACCAUUCCUUGCGUGUUCGUCGAUCAGUGUCCCUGAUGGCUUUUAUGCUGAAGCUGUCUGAUGAUUACAGCCUGAAAUUGCGAGGAGGCUUCAAGAACGAAGAUACCGCACGGGGUGUACUACUGGAAGGAGAAGUAUUUGGUAAUAGAUUCCUUGUUGACACCUUAUUCCAGUGUGAAGGAAAGCGAUAUUCUGAGGGUAAACUUAUCAUCCACACUCCAUUCCCUGGCAUGGAAAAGAUGGGUGGCCUAUUCACAUGGUCUAAUGCAAACAAGAAAAUCAUGGCCCAUGCUGAACUACAUCUUCCUUCUUAUAUAACACCUACAAUUACUGGUGAGAUUAGCCUAGACCUUAAAAAGAAGAUCAAUGGUUAUGUCACGCUUGACGUAGCUGGAGAGGAAUUCACCCUGAAGUGCAAUCUUGCUGGUUCUUCCAUUUCUCAAGGUUAUACAGGUUCACUUGAAUUCUAUACUCCAUUCCAUGCUGUAUCACAUGUUAUGUUGACAGGCGACAUAAAAAUGCAGGCAUUGUCCUUCCUUGACAUGGAAGUAAAAAUUGAAGCACCUUUUGCCACACAUGACCUUAAACUGAAAUACCAGCUUAGUGCUGACAAAGUCUCUGGGGAAGCUUUCCUUGAGUCAACAAGGUUGUAUAACACCAUUCAGCUAAGCCUUAAUCUUGAGGGCCUCAGCACUGGAAAUGUAGAGGUUGACUUGACUGUCAAUGACAACAAGAUUAAUGCACAUUACAUUUUGGCUCAAUCCACUUCAAAUUCGACGUGACAACCGUAUUUUAGCAAGGAACGCCAGUUCUCCAUUGAAGCUAAGUAUCCAUCUCUGGAGAGCCUCGAGGGUGUAGUUGCUGUUACUCUGGAAGGUGAAAGCACAUGGUUAGUGGAAGCCUGAACAUCGUUAACAAAUCGUAUCCAAGGAGCCCUGGAUUUGGAAUCUGACUUAUCAGCGGCCACAGAAACUGAUGUUCGACGUUUCCAAGCCAAGUACUUCUAUAAACAAGCCUCAUUUAAAAUCAUUUUCACUAGCAGUGACCCUCAUUCCUUCUACCUGGAUUUGGAUCUAAGAAGUGGGCUUAUGCUACUGUAAAGAUUGAUACACCGUUUUUCCAAAAGUUACCACUACCCUGCAAGUAACCCCUGCUGUUGCUGGAAUCACCGUCGAGACCCCCAAAGGAACACACAAGUUCAGGUUAGCUGGCGCCAGACUCGUAGAAUGCCAUCUGACUGGAUUGCUUCCUAGAGCUGAUCUCUCCAUUGCUGCCUGAGAACUACCUCUUCAGUGUAACCUUGGAAGUAAACACAUCAUGGCUGAGCUGCAGACAGGGAGCAUAAAGCACAAUCUUGAAGCCAGAACCUCAAUGUCUAACUAUGGUGGUGAUUGUCUCUCAUGAUUGACACACCCUUUAAGAAUAUCAAUAAAGUUAUGUUGAUGCCUCACUCAACUUCCAGAACAAUGUUGAACUGUAUAUCACAGCCAAGUUUGCCAACACAGUCAAUUCCUUCCGUUCAAUUGGAUAAGGAAAACAGGAAGCUAAUUAGCAUUGUGGAAUCUCCAACAUUCCAACGGGAAUUUGGG
RNA transcript from Penaeus monodon (black tiger shrimp), 14003 nucleotides. RefSeq lists it as uncharacterized. The transcript has 11 exons. The record is from RefSeq and is a predicted model, not a curated record. Lineage: Eukaryota; Metazoa; Arthropoda; Malacostraca; Decapoda; Penaeidae.